GAAGUCAAAUAGUCCCAAAUUCAGAGAUAUGGCCUAAUACAACAGGCAUCACGGGACACUUAACAAACUGGAGGCAUUAAAGGAGGCAUUUAAAAAAUGAAUAAGGAAACUAAUACAAGUUCGCAGACUUCCUGUUGGAGCUCAAAAUGAGCUGUGUUGUGGACUUCCUUUUUUAAAAGGAGUUAGUGGUUCAUGCUUUCAUAAUGCAGCUUUAUAAAUUUAUCUGAUAAAUAAAAAAUGGCUUAUGUGCUUCUUUCAAUAGUGAGAAGCUGAAGUCCAGUUUUCUAGUUUGCAGCUGCGAUCAUUGUCUCUUCUGUGUUUUUACAGAACUUAAUAUAACUUGAGCUCAGUCCUGUAGUUGCCCAAAGGCUCUGUUCCAUCAGAUGUGCCCGACAGGAGCAGUGGUGCUUGAUUUAUGUCAGAUUUCACUUUCUCUUGGCCCACAAUACCAGGCAUGACUUCAACAUCUUGUGUCCAUAUUUUGCUCAGACUCUGACAUGAGCUUGGGAGAGCUGAUCUGGGCAGCAGAAGGUUACCCAGUCCCUUGCCUAACUUCCAGCUGUGGAUGCUGUACAUCUACAAAGGGCAAUUACACCUUCAACUGAGUGCAUGGAUGAAAGGAAGGAAAAGGCUGCUCAAACUGGCAGGUUCUCCUAACCAUGUGUCCUUCUGGCAGCUGUGGAUGCGAUGGGGAUAGAAGGUAAAACAACAAUUCCAGAGGGGCCUUUCUCAGUCCUUUUCCUGAAUAUACUUAUGAGAACAAUAGAUGAGUAAGGUUGGCAGAAAGACAGAGAAGAAAAGCAAAUUGUUGUAUGCACAGGUAGGAUUGCUCAUGUCCUCGAGACCUUGACCCAAGUCUGUCGGGCUCCUGUCUUGUCUCCCAUCUCAU
This 889-nucleotide long non-coding RNA is filed under the name Manacus vitellinus (golden-collared manakin). Its description in RNAcentral is "lncRNA (ENSMVIG00005010826.1)". Lineage: Eukaryota; Metazoa; Chordata; Aves; Passeriformes; Pipridae. The record is from RNAcentral.